UUGAUCCUGGCUCAGAUUGAACGCUGGCGGCAGGCUUAACACAUGCAAGUCGAGCGGAGCGAGGGUGCUUGCACCUUAGCUUAGCGGCGGACGGGUGAGUAAUGCUUAGGAAUCUGCCUAUUAGUGGGGGACAACAUUCCGAAAGGAAUGCUAAUACCGCAUACGCCCUACGGGGGAAAGCAGGGGAUCUUCGGACCUUGCGCUAAUAGAUGAGCCUAAGUCGGAUUAGCUAGUUGGUGGGGUAAAGGCCUACCAAGGCGACGAUCUGUAGCGGGUCUGAGAGGAUGAUCCGCCACACUGGGACUGAGACACGGCCCAGACUCCUACGGGAGGCAGCAGUGGGGAAUAUUGGACAAUGGGCGGAAGCCUGAUCCAGCCAUGCCGCGUGUGUGAAGAAGGCCUUUUGGUUGUAAAGCACUUUAAGCGAGGAGGAGGCUACUUAGAUUAAUACUCUAGGAUAGUGGACGUUACUCGCAGAAUAAGCACCGGCUAACUCUGUGCCAGCAGCCGCGGUAAUACAGAGGGUGCGAGCGUUAAUCGGAUUUACUGGGCGUAAAGCGUGCGUAGGCGGCU
This 573-nucleotide ribosomal RNA is filed under the name uncultured bacterium. Its description in RNAcentral is "bacterial SSU rRNA". It matches the Rfam family "Bacterial small subunit ribosomal RNA", at positions 13 to 580 of the family's 1533-position model. The record is from RNAcentral.